Hypanus sabinus (Atlantic stingray) is the source of this 350-nucleotide long non-coding RNA. RefSeq lists it as uncharacterized. The transcript has 3 exons. The record is from RefSeq and is a predicted model, not a curated record. NCBI's taxonomy places the organism in Eukaryota, Metazoa, Chordata, Chondrichthyes, Myliobatiformes, Dasyatidae.
CACAUUGUUAAAACACUGAAGUGAAAUUCAACAAGAUAGAUCUUUGGAGGACUUGCUUUUCCACUCAUGCUAUUUCUUAUGCAGGGUAAGAAUACGCAAGAGUUGUCUUUAUGGUGUAGUUUUUGCCAGAAUUCUGACUCAACAACAGUUGGACCUUCUAGAUACAAAUGUAUUUUUACUACAAUCAAUUGAAACACUUUGACUGCACACAGGUUACAGAUGAUACAGAGAAUUUGGCUGCUUACCUGAGUGAGAAAUGGAGUAAUGAAGACAAAGAAAAUAUCAUAUACAAAGAGAACCACCAGCAGUAACGUGCAAGCCUGGAAUGAAGAAAAAAAAAACAUUAAGAG